Molecule: ribosomal RNA, 545 nt
Filed under: uncultured bacterium
Lineage: Bacteria
Description: partial 16S ribosomal RNA
Rfam family: Bacterial small subunit ribosomal RNA
Source: RNAcentral
UAGGGAAUCUUGCGCAAUGGGCGAAAGCCUGACGCAGCCAUGCCGCGUGAAUGAUGAAGGUCUUAGGAUUGUAAAAUUCUUUCACCGGGGAAGAUAAUGACGGUACCCGGAGAAGAAGCCCCCGGCUAACUUCGUGCCAGCAGCCGCGGUAAUACGAAGGGGGGCUAGCGUUGCUCGGAAUUACUGGGCGUAAAGGGCGCGUAGGCGGACAUUUAAGUCAGAGGUGAAAGCCCCAGGGCUCAACCUUGGAAUUGCCUUUGAUACUGGAUGUCUUGAGUUCGGGAGAGGUGAGUGGAAUGCCGAGUGUAGAGGUGAAAUUCGUAGAUAUUCGGCGGAACACCAGUGGCGAAGGCGACUCACUGGCCCGAUACUGACGCUGAGGCGCGAAAGCGUGGGGAGCAAACAGGAUUAGAUACCCCUGGUAGUCCACGCCGUAAACGAUGAGUGCUAGUUGUCGGCAUGCAUGCAUGUCGGUGACGCAGCUAACGCAUUAAGCACUCCGCCUGGGGAGUACGGUCGCAAGAUUAAAACUCAAAUGAAUUGAC